CAUAACCCCAGCAACCGAUGUAUCAUUAGCAACGAUGUUCACAGAAUCAGGAUGGGAAAAGGUAUUUAAACUAGUUUUAACAGGAAGAGGAGGAGGUGGUGGUGGAGUUGGAUGUGUAAUUAUCGUUGGUAAAGAAGUUGCAUCAUUAGGAAUAUCAAAGUUCGUAAUUUUACUAUUGUUGCUAACUGUUUCUGCUUUGUUCUCAACGCUAUUAAUCUCAUGCGUUUGAUUUGAAAUAUCCUUUAUUACGACGUUUGACUCAAUACCCUUUCCCGGAAUCUCCAAGUUCGCAAAGUCAUCAAUUCCUUUCAUACUUUUGAUGGACUCAUCCUUUUCACUGGUUAACGAUUCAGAAGCUGAACGACCAACAUAUCGAUGUAAAUGACGAGGGAAUGGACGAUGAAAUUUUUUAUCAGGAAUUUGUAAAAUAGUUGACACAGUUGAGGGCUGGCUGGACUGUCGAGACAUUUGCUCCCUUAGAUCCCGAAGUUUGUCAUCAAUUCCAUCGUUUGACCAAAGUGUUGACUCUGCAGCAAUUUCCUUUUUCCUCAAGUCAAGCUUAUCCAACAAAUAUUCUAUAAUCCUUUCCUUGGAAUUAGUUGAGCCCUGAAAAGAAUCCGAAUUGAUAAGAAGAUACAAUUCUCGUAAUUCCACUUCGCUCCUUUGGAUUUGAGUAACAUGAGACUUUUGGAGAGCAUCAAUUUCUGUUUUUAGAGUCUCAUUCGUUCUUUUCUGAGAAAGAAUAACGUCUUUCUGAUCCUCUACUUCUUUGUUUAACUUCGCAAUUAAGUCUUCGGCACCCAGAUUUACUUGCGCAGCCAUUGCAUCUCUUUCAAUAACCAUUUUCUCAGCCAUUGCACGUGACGCCUUUGCUUCCUUCAAAGCAUUUCUGGCUGUGUCAUCCGAAUAGAAUCUUUCGGUUAGCAUAUUUAAAGAUGCCUGUAAACUAUCUUCAAAACUUUCAUUGGAUACUUUUGAAUUGAGCAGUAUUCUUUGAAGUAAAGAGUUAAAAACCUUGAUAAGUUUCACCUUUUGCUUUUCAGUACCUUUGGCAAGUAGUAUGUUUUGAAUAGUUGAUUCAAGUAAACGGCCAACUUCAUUUGAUGCAAAUUCAUUGAAGCUACUUAAAAUUGAGGAUUCAUUUGACAUAAAGGAAUCGACAUCUUCAUGCGUGGUCUGACUUAUAGUCCUCCUCUCUUCUUCUGAUUCAUAUAUGUUUAGUUGUUUCUCAAGUUGUUGGUCAGGAAAGUUACGUAGAAGUUGUAUAACUUCGUGUAUACCUGAUUCACGAAGGGAAUCCAAUAUAUCAAGGUCAAAUCCUUGCUCCAAUUCUUCGCAAGCAACAAUUAGCUGAUUGAUAAAUUCCAUAGUGGAAGUACAAUACUCAAGAAACGCUAUGUUUGAAGGUGAGCUGGAAGCAGAAUUUCGAGCAGGAGAAGAUGGAGGGGUUCGUGCUAAUUCUUUUUCCAAGAUUAUGUCUUUGAAAGAUUUUAUCCAUCCAAAGAAUAGCGGAACCUCCUUUUCAUAUUCGGCAUUUAUUUCUUUAAAUCCAGUUUCCAAUAUGGAGACCACAAGAGGUUCCUUUAAAGACAGAACCCAUGUCAAUAAAUCUGCGGCUACUUUCCUCGGAAGCAAAUUUGGGGAUAUAAGGGUCACUGUUAUUGCUUGAAAUAUAUAAGAAUUGGAAGUAACCAGAGUAGGUUUUUUCUUCAAAAGAGUAAGCAUGCAACGAGGAACUUCAGCUUGCUGAGGCUGCACUACGGCAGACGAAUUAAAAUAUGUAAGUAGAUUAUGCAAAGCUCGAAGUCCCUGCAGUUCAAGAAAAAGAGAUAUCCAUCGAUCGGAUUGAGUUGAUAAUAAAGAAGAAAGUGUGAUAAGUUGUAAAUUACUAAUUGUUUUAUUCCAUAGUUGGAUUACGAACCAGGAAACAGGUCUAUGGACGGCAGCUAAUUCUGGAAUUUGGAAAGAAGGAUCAUCAAACCCGGCGAAGUUAGAACGAAUAAAACACCACUUUUCAUCUGGAGUACAACUUUGAAGCAUUUCAAUGGCGUUUUCGUCAAAAUCAAAUACAGGGUGUCUUAAAAAAUCGUUGAAUAGAUGUAUUAGCUGAUCCAAUGAAGGUGGUCGAGUACUCGGAAUUUCAAACUGAAACGAGCAUACCGAAUUAGGGCUCCCAGCUCGAAUUGAACGUAGUCGAUAAACUUGUUCAUCAUUAGUAGAAGUGAAUUUUGGGGAAACCUCGUUGGUAAUCUCAGGGACUUCAACAACAGGAGCAAGUUUAUGCUUAGUUCGCCUUUUUGUCUUAGAUACUGGAACUGAGGGAACAGGAGGUUUCGGCAAAGGAUCAAAAGAGCGAGAAUGUACAGGGGGUGUCACUGGAGCAAUUUGGACAUCCUCAGAACUUUUAAUAAUGUUUUUGGGCAACCUAGGACCCUUGAGAUGUUUAGAAGUGUGCAAAUGUUCAACGGAAGACGAAGAUGGUAGAUCAGUGACUUCAACUUUAUUCGCUUUGGGUCGAUGGACAGUAGAUUUCUCGGGUGUUUUAGGUAAAGGAAGCUGGGAAUUUUGCAAAGCAUGUUUAUUAUGAGAAUUGUACUCUUUCGAUGAAAAGGUAAAUUGCUUUACAUACGGAGAAGUAACUGAUUGGGACUUAUUAGGCUGGAUUAACGUCGAUACUGAUUCUAUGGAUGAUGGAGGUUUAUGGUACGUUGUUUUGGACUUAGGAGCCCUUGGCCCAAUAGUUCUUCUGGCUGAUGGAGUUGGAGUAGACAGAAUAGAGUCAUAAGAAAAAUUAGGGUCCUGUCCCUUUGACGAAUUUCGCAUCUCUACUUCAUAAACGAAUGCAGCAUUGUAAUUGCUUUCAGGAUCUUGUUUUCAAGUAUUAACAAGGAAACUGUGAUGAAAAGUUUUAGCUCAAUUAAACCUUUUUUUUAAAUUUGCUAAAAGUUGAUGUUCAGAACUUGUUGACCUUCAAAUUUGGAUAAAGUGGAACACUUAGCGAGUAAGGGUUGGGAUGGCUUAAAUGAUCUAAGAUAAUACGUAUACUUGCGAACAAGUAAGUUGAAAGGAAAUGAAACUUCGAUAUAUCUAAUAUUAUAAUGGUUAAAUUGCGUUAUAGCGUAUUAAAUUUUAUUUUUAGGAUAAUCGAAAUUCUCGUCUUGUAAGUCUAGUCUGCAUUUGGAUGCGGUUUCUGGUUGCUUAAAACGUUGUUCAAUGAGAAAAUACAUUCGUGAAGAUCAUUUUUACUUACAAAGCAUUCGUAACAUAUUUUGUUGUCACGUUGAGCUAAAUAUAACCAGAAAUUUGCAAAUAAACGAGAAUCACAAGAACGAAUCCAUUGGUGCUUUUAUUUACAUACCAUAUUAAAUUACAAUAACGAAUUUUCACAAUUCGUCCCUAAGUGUUCGAGUUAGAAAUUAAAGAAACCUAUACGAUGCGCUGUAUGUAACGAUAAGUUUUUAUAAUGUUGAAUUGAUUUCAGCUACUAGCUUUAAUUCUACCAAGCGCUUUUUGAACAGUUUAAUUUUUAAAGCUACAAUCCGGUUAGAAACAUAAAGAACAUGUGAUGGUUAUUUAAUUAGACUAAAUGAUAGUUCUCAAACUAAAGGCGAGUUGCUUAGGAUAGUGCACCUUAUUGUCAGGUCAUUCCAAAAAUAAUUACUAAAGGAAAAACCAGAAAAGGUGAGCUAACUCAAAGUUGUAAAAUAAGUAAUUAUGCCUCUGUACUGACAAAUGUCGAACUUCUGGGUAAGAUGGGCUUAGUUAUUAACAAACGAGGUUGAGAAUAACACAUACGUAGUAACAGCAUUUUCAAAGAAACAAAAAGUCGUUUUGAUCAUUAAUACGCCAUUAACAGAUACCAAUGAGAGUAAAGUAAAGGUAUCGUUGUGUCAACUAAAACUUCUUUCUAGUGUGAUCAAAUUUUGACCGUAGCAAUGAGCCGGAAGGUGUAGAGGAAAGAGGUUUCGUGGUGGAAGGUGAUUUUUGAAGACUUCCGACACCUUCAAACAAAUCGUCAAAGGUACUAUGUUGAACAGAAGGUAAUCGUCGUAAAGGGGGAGACGAAGCAGAGGAAGUGGAGGACGAUAGCCUCCUAGGAUUGGCCGGAAUAUAUGAAGCUUUUAAAUUUGAAGGAGCCGCAUUACUUGCAUUUAUGCUAACUGGGGAAGUAGGUCCUGUGUUAACUGGAGGCUGCCAUCCAGGAGGACGAAGCCAUUCAGGUAAUGUCCCAAUUUUGUCCAUAUAGUAUUUUCUCAUUACACGAGCAACGUGAGUAUCUUCAAUCGUAUUAUCGCUUUCAGGGUCGCGAAUACGAUUAAUUUUUGAAGAAAUCGAUAACUUUGACCACAUGAUGAAUCGAGAGUUCGCGUUUCUUUAUGUACUACUUAAUCUCUAAAUUUUAAAGAACCUUGGCAUUUGAAUUCAAAAAAUUUCAAUAAAAGUAAUUAAUAAAAAAGUUUAGCCAUUAUUAUGAUGCCAAGAACGGCUUAAUAUCUGGCGACGCGGAUUUCAUAAAGACGCCAACUCGCUAAACUGUCUAAAGUGAUUAAUAACACGACCAUGAACUACAUUAUAUGUUUUAACGAAUGUAAAAUCAGCACAUAAAUAGAUAAUUUUAUUGCAAAUGUCCAAUUGAUUAAUAUCUUACAAAUAAAAAUAAUUUGUGGGUGGAUUUAAACAUUUAAUUUAGAUACUCUCGAAGAUGAUGCAUGAAAUCGGCUAAAAAAAAGAAUGAACGAUGAAAAGCUUGGUAAACAAAAUCAAUACUGAGCAAUCUUACUAUGUAGUAGCUAAUUAAGGUAUACAUAAUUUCUAAAUGGACUACGAAAAUGUAGUUUUAAAAUAGUUAGGUAAGUUUUAAUUUUACUACUUGUAGUC
Non-coding RNA from Schizosaccharomyces pombe (fission yeast), 4878 nucleotides. Lineage: Eukaryota; Fungi; Ascomycota; Schizosaccharomycetes; Schizosaccharomycetales; Schizosaccharomycetaceae. The record is from the annotation of a GenBank genome assembly.